RNAcentral lists this ribosomal RNA (495 nucleotides) under uncultured bacterium. RNAcentral describes it as "partial 16S ribosomal RNA". It matches the Rfam family "Bacterial small subunit ribosomal RNA", at positions 28 to 507 of the family's 1533-position model. The record is from RNAcentral.
GACGAACGCUGGCGGCGUGCCUAAUACAUGCAAGUCGAACGCUGAAGGAGGAGCUUGCUUCUCUGGAUGAGUUGCGAACGGGUGAGUAACGCGUAGGUAACCUGCCUGGUAGUGGGGGAUAACUAUUGGAAACGAUAGCUAAUACCGCAUAAUAGCAGUUGUUGCAUGAUAACUGUUUGAAAGGUGCAAUUGCACCGCUACCAGAUGGACCUGCGUUGUAUUAGCUAGUUGGUGGGGUAACGGCUCACCAAGGCGACGAUACAUAGCCGACCUGAGAGGGUGAUCGGCCACACUGGGACUGAGACACGGCCCAGACCCCUACGGGAGGCAGCAGUAGGGAAUCUUCGGCAAUGGACGGAAGUCUGACCGAGCAACGCCGCGUGAGUGAAGAAGGGUUUCGGAUCGUAAAGCUCUGUUGUAAGAGAAGAACGAGUGUGAGAGUGGAAAGUUCACACUGUGACGGUAUCUUACCAGAAAGGGACGGCUAACUACGUG